RNAcentral lists this ribosomal RNA (620 nucleotides) under Geitlerinema sp. WUC1581. RNAcentral's name for it is "bacterial SSU rRNA". It matches the Rfam family "Bacterial small subunit ribosomal RNA", at positions 133 to 787 of the family's 1533-position model. The record is from RNAcentral. Lineage: Bacteria; Bacillati; Cyanobacteriota; Cyanophyceae; Geitlerinematales; Geitlerinemataceae.
CAGGAUUCGGGAACAGUUGGAACGACUGCUAAUACCGGAUGUGCCUAAGGGUGAAAGGCUUGCUGCCUGAAGAAGAGCUUGCGUCCGAUUAGCUAGUUGGUGAGGUAAAGGCUUACCAAGGCAUCGAUCGGUAGCUGGUCUGAGAGGAUGACCAGCCACACUGGGACUGAGACAAGGCCCAUACUCCUACGGGAGGCAGCAGUGGGGAAUUUUCCGCAAUGGGCGAAAGCCUGACGGAGCAAUACCGCGUGAGGGAAGAAGGCUCUUGGGUUGUAAACCUCUUUUCUCAGGGAAUAAAAAAAUGAAGGUACCUGAGGAAUAAGCAUCGGCUAACUCCGUGCCAGCAGCCGCGGUAAUACGGAGGAUGCAAGCGUUAUCCGGAAUGAUUGGGCGUAAAGCGUCCGCAGGUGGUACAACAAGUCUAGUGUCAAAGACCGGGGCUCAACCCCGGAAAGGCGGUAGAAACUGUUGAACUAGAGGGUCGUAGGGGUAGAGGGAAUUCCCAGUGUAGCGGUGAAAUGCGUAGAGAUUGGGAAGAACAUCGGUGGCGAAGGCGCUCUACUGGACGGCAACUGACACUCAAGGACGAAAGCUAGGGGAGCGAAUGGGAUUAGAUACCC